UUGAGCAGUAGGAGUUUUGGAGCAUUUGGCUCGGCAUGAGUUGUUCUCUUGCUAGUGUUCGGGAGUGAUGUUGUGUGCUAAUUGUGUUGGUUGGCUUAUCAUGGCGUUUUUCGGAACUUGGCCAAGGUGGAGAUUGUUGAAUUAAUGGCCACAAGUGUCCAAAAAAAACUUUCGGCUAAUAAACAAACCAAAAUAAAAAAAGGUGAAAGACAUCAUGAUGAGGAGGCAUCAUGAUUAUGUUUGUUGAAAAGAAAAGUUGAUGGUCAUGAUGAUGUUUUUGAAUUUUUUAUUGGGUGAUGAUGAUGGAUGAAUGUUAGUAUACGGAAGUGAGAAAGAGAGAGGAAUGAUAGAGCACCAUUUUCUGUUUUGUAGUCCAUCUUUGAGAGAGCAAAGAGAGCUGCAGAGAGCAGAAAACUGAG
Molecule: long non-coding RNA, 419 nt
Filed under: Malus domestica (apple)
Lineage: Eukaryota; Viridiplantae; Streptophyta; Magnoliopsida; Rosales; Rosaceae
Description: long non-coding RNA (MDOM_LNC002709)
Source: RNAcentral